AGCCGCUGCGCGGGGCCUGCUGGGAAAUGUAGUUCAAAGUUCGGCACGAGCUGCAGGUCUCUGCCUAACAAUGAACUACCACUCCCAGUAGUCAACGCUGCUCAGGGCU
Rattus norvegicus (Norway rat) is the source of this 109-nucleotide microRNA precursor. The record is from Ensembl. NCBI's taxonomy places the organism in Eukaryota, Metazoa, Chordata, Mammalia, Rodentia, Muridae.